GGCUGCGGGGUCUCCGCGGGCACUUCCAGCGCCGACUGACCAAGGAGGUGGCUCCUCCCACCCGCGUCCAGCCGACCUCGGGGUCCCGGGCCCCGACGGGGGGCCGUCUUCCCGCCAGUCUUACCAGCGCCCGGGGAAGGCGGCCACCCGGACCUACCCAGCCUCUCGGAGGCCCACACCUACAGGCGGCGGAAGUGCGUCCGCGAACCCGGCCCAGCCCUGCGCCUGCGCUUCCGCCGGCUUCGGGAAGGUCCGAGCCGUUUGGCUUGGCCGAGCGCCCCGUGCCUGCAGCGAGGUCUGCACAUCAGGACGCCUAGGCCUGUGGGGUUUUGAUUUGUAACUCGCCUCAUCUUAAAAAGAGGGUCCGAGCGCCAGCUCCGCGUCGUUGAGUCCCUCCGCCCUACCCCGCGCGGGGCAGCGGGCGGGGACUUUCCUAGGCGCGCUUCCCCUCCGAGCAUCACUUCUCUAAUUCCAGUUCACCGACCCCGAGUCCUCUUCCCCUCCCUGCCAACCUGCCUCCCUGGACAGCAUCCCCCACUCCAUCCCGACCCCCGUCAACCUGAAUGUAUUUACCAGGCAGGCACAUCGCGCAACCAGAAUGUGUCCGCAGUGUUCCCAUCAGUACAGUCACUCCGUCUGGAUCAUAAAUGCGCCGCAAAGAGAGGAAAGGAAAGGAGGAGGCUUAAGGCACGCUGUGAUGGGUGCGGUGCUGUGUGUUCUACUUACAACCCGGAAACACGCAAAAAGCUUAAGUGACCUGCCCAAGUUUGCACAGCCCAGGGACAGGAUGCACCCCAUGCAUGUGUGACCAAGACCUGUCCUGGGAUCCCUACAGCGUGGCCACAGUGAGAGAGACCACCACUGCUCAAGAACGAGAUAUUGGUUUCAAUAUUGGCUUCGCGGCCUCCCCGCUACACAGGAAACACGUACUAAAUAUUUACUGCGUGAGUAAAUUUCAUGAGGAUGCCGGGAUGUCCCCACUUUUCCUGCGAAAAGGCAGAUUACUCCUCCCAUGAGAAGCAGGAGUCAGGGGCGGACCGUGGGGCAGUUUUCUUCUGGCAGAACGCAGCCGAUCCAAGACAGAUGCCACCCUUCCUCGCCUUGCCCGACUGGGUCAGGCCACUCCUCUUACCAGUGACCCUAUAAUCUCCGCAAGCAGGAAUGCCCGAGCCCCCCCCAACCACGCCCUCUUAGCCCUCAACGAUGACGUCACGCGCGGCGGAGGUAACUAUGGAAACCCAUAUUCUUUCCCGAAAUAGGAGGGCGCGAACGCUCUCCCAACGCCAAACCUAGUUCCACCUUUCCUCGGGAUUCCUCUGAGGUCCCGGUCCAGAGCGCCACAGGGCUGCUGCAAUCCCGAAGGUAACAUGAUAGGGACUGGGUGUUUAAAGGGGACAAAGGGCCCGGACAUCUGAGGCCCCAGAGCCGGACUCACCUCUCCCACAGGGCUGGUUCCGAUCGGACACUUCCGGUGGAAGGACGGAGCUGCAAUACGCCCUCAGGCGUCCUUCCACAGAGACUUUUGAGGCUGCGCAGAAGGAGACGGGCCGGCUUUGGACUGCGCUUCCCAGAAGCCUUCGGAUCUCCUCAGGAGCCGGGACUCCAUUUCCCAGGCGUCUUCGCUACGGUCUUGAAGUCCUCAGACUUUGAAGGAGAAGGCGUCUUUUCUUCUCUUUGUAGUAAUAAGCUUGCCUCUAUAGCUCCCAUGCGGGCCUCAUCCUUGACUUCAUCCCAUUUCAGUAUGGGGCCGUGAAAUGGAAGCCCACGCAGCAGGGACGCGGCUCAAACUUCACCUUUGGACUUAUGGGAAACUUUUCCCAAAUCCUUGGUUUGUCCCUAACCCGGGUGGACCGCAGAUAUGCAAAACGGGGUUAAUCAUAACGCCUGGUUUAAGACUUUGCGUUACCCUAAAUUGUGAACAUUCUUUAAUCCAUUACCAAAUCUAUAAGAACCAGAACGUUGACAAUAACCUAACCUUUACUACAACUCUUUCUCUUGUCUCCCUCUGUAUUUUGUGUCCCCUUACUUAUUGAAAAGAUAGUUCUGCUUGAUACAUACACAUGGCCAAACAAUAUAGGCUUUUAAUUUUAGUUGUUUUUGUCUGAAAGGCAUCAUGUCAUAGGUAAUCUGAAUUUGCUGCUUUUCACUCAAUAAGUUAAGAUAUACCCAUAUUGUUGAGUUAAAAUUCAUUUUCAUUACUGUAUAAUAUUCCAUUUGUGAAUAUAGCAUUGUGUUCAUCCUUUCUCCUAAGAUGGGUUGAUAACACUAUUAUCUCUCUUGUGGAUUACCGCAGUAAACUUUUUUUAACAUCUU
Long non-coding RNA from Orcinus orca (killer whale), 2313 nucleotides. RefSeq lists it as uncharacterized. Lineage: Eukaryota; Metazoa; Chordata; Mammalia; Artiodactyla; Delphinidae. The transcript has 2 exons. The record is from RefSeq and is a predicted model, not a curated record.